Molecule: non-coding RNA, 46 nt
Filed under: Schistosoma haematobium
Lineage: Eukaryota; Metazoa; Platyhelminthes; Trematoda; Strigeidida; Schistosomatidae
Source: RNAcentral
GCACUGCUGAGGAGUUCCACAAUAAGACGAAACGGCCGUUCAGUGC